RNAcentral lists this unclassified non-coding RNA (419 nucleotides) under Hevea brasiliensis (rubber tree). Lineage: Eukaryota; Viridiplantae; Streptophyta; Magnoliopsida; Malpighiales; Euphorbiaceae. The record is from RNAcentral.
UAGAUUGAUCAGGUGAAGGUGGUGAUCUUUUAUUGUCCGGCGAUGGAGUUCUCACGUCAUUAAGGUUGACAGUUGUUAUAUCAUGAAUACUAGCUCUUCUCUUAUCUUUCCCUCCUGAAAGCUGCCUGAUAAAAUACUUCUGUGCAUGACUAGCCACCUGAGUUGGCGUUCUAGUUACAACAAAAUUCCGCGAUAUAUUUCUCCAGUCUCCUUUGCCAUACUUUUUCAAGCCCAUCAGGAACAACUUGUGCUCCUCCUCCGUCCAUGGAACUCCUUUCUUUCUCUCCUGAUCAGCGGGCCGACCUGACGGAGAUCUCUUCCCACCAAGAGCAUAAGAUUGUUUGAAGCCAUCAUAGGUAUUACUGCUAGCCCAAUCCAAUGUGAAGGGAGAGGUUCUAUAUCCAGGAAUUGGAAUCAGC